AUACGGAGGGUCCAAGCGUUAUCCGGAUUUAUUGGGUUUAAAGGGUGCGUAGGCGGACUGGUAAGUCAGCUGUGAAAGUUUGCGGCUUAACCGUAAAAUUGCAGUUGAUACUGUCAGUCUUGAGUGUGCAUGAGGUGGGCGGAAUUUGUGGUGUAGGGGUGAAAUGCUUAGAUAUCACGAGGAACUCCCAUUGCGAAGGCAGCUCACUGGGGCAUAACUGACGCUGAUGCACGAAGGUGUGGGUAUCAAACAGGAUUAGAUACCCUGGUAGUCCACACAGUAAACUAUGAAUACUCGCUGUUUGCGAUAUACAGUAAGCGGCCAAGCGAAAGCAUUAAGUAUUCCACCUGGGGAGUACGCCGGCAACGGUGAAACUCAAAGGAAUUGACGGGG
RNAcentral lists this ribosomal RNA (393 nucleotides) under uncultured bacterium. RNAcentral describes it as "partial 16S ribosomal RNA". It matches the Rfam family "Bacterial small subunit ribosomal RNA", at positions 523 to 918 of the family's 1533-position model. The record is from RNAcentral.